Ixodes scapularis (black-legged tick) is the source of this 117-nucleotide long non-coding RNA. RefSeq lists it as uncharacterized. The transcript has 3 exons. The record is from RefSeq and is a predicted model, not a curated record. NCBI's taxonomy places the organism in Eukaryota, Metazoa, Arthropoda, Arachnida, Ixodida, Ixodidae.
CUGCAAAGAGCCCUGCCCCCGUUCCUCCGGCAUUCACACACCUUCCUGAUGGAACUUUUCACCUGACCAAGGGGAUAGUCAUUUCCAGUGGCCAGGCUGCAAAAAUAUUUCGGGGGA